UAGCCUUCGAAGCCCACGGUAUGGGCCAG
Molecule: small RNA, 29 nt
Filed under: Bombyx mori (domestic silkworm)
Lineage: Eukaryota; Metazoa; Arthropoda; Insecta; Lepidoptera; Bombycidae
Description: ovarian small RNA-22396
Source: RNAcentral